Helianthus annuus (common sunflower) is the source of this 1151-nucleotide long non-coding RNA. RefSeq lists it as uncharacterized. NCBI's taxonomy places the organism in Eukaryota, Viridiplantae, Streptophyta, Magnoliopsida, Asterales, Asteraceae. The transcript has 3 exons. The record is from RefSeq and is a predicted model, not a curated record.
AAAUAAGUUCAUUUCCUUCUCUUGAUAUAAUUUUUUUUUCUGGUAUUAUCUAAACAUCCCUGGAUGGUUGAUGGUGUGGAUUUCCACUUAAUGCUUCAAAGCUUUUACCUACAGUAAAUAUGUGAGAUUACUACCAAAAGAUAAAGAGGAGAAGCUUGCUGAGACAAUCUCAUAUGAUGUAAUUCCACCAUAUGAUAAAGCAUGAGCACUUGCUAAAACUAAUUUGGAUAUUGAUGAAAUUGUUGCUGGAGUGCCUUGGGGAAAACUUCAACACAACUUGUAUAAUGAAUGUAUGAUCUUUAGCAGAAUGGACGAGCUCUUCAAAGUUGCUCAGGUAUGUUUAUGAGAAAGAAUACAUGUUCCCAGGUGGGUUGGGUUGUGUAAUGGGUCCAAACAAACAUGACUGCCUGGGUUGGGUAAAGGGUCAAAAUGGGCAGCUUUUAGAAAACAUGUCAAAUGGGUUCGGUUCAAAUGGGUCGGGUCAGAGCAAGUUCGCGUGCUAUACAUCCAUCAUUCCACCCAGUAUUUACCAAAACGAUCCCUGAAGUUUCUGCAUAUGUUGGUGGAUAGCAUGAUAGUGGUGAAGAAAUCAACACUGAAAAGUUUGAAUUGGAUCAUGGAAUUGCCCCAGUAGUUAUAAAAGGAUCUGAAAUUAAUCAUUCAGGGGGUGUCAGUGAAGAUAUCAGUGAAGAUAUCAAGCACGAAAAUUGAUCAAACCAUUUCAGAUUCGUGAAGCUGUCAAGGAACCUGUUGCAAUUUCGACCGAAAAAAGGAUCUUGAAGCACCGGAACUAGAAAAAAAGGCUCAAGAGAACAUGUUCGAAGAAGAAGCUGUGACAAACACGUUGCAGUUUUGAUUGAAAAGGAGGAUCUUGGGGGACCCAUGAAGUUGUAAGAAAGCCUGAACGAACCUGACACGGUUUGGAUCGAAAAAGAGGAUUUUGGUGCUACCGAAUCCAUUGACAAAGAAGCUGAUUCAGUUUAGAGUGAAAAGGAGGAUCUUGGUGCACACAAGUUGGAAAAAAAUGCUCAAAACAUCAACUUAUACAACAAAAAGUCAACAAUGCCCAUAAUCUUAGUUGAUGAUAUUAGCACUUAAACAGUUAAAGAUAAAACACAACAUGAAAACCAAUUUUCAUAUUAGUUUGUUUA